GUUCCCGCCAUAGUUCUGUAGAUUCUUUACUCGAAGCAUUCCAUUCCGCUGCAAGCAAGGCCGACCUGACAGCUUACUUCGGUUGCUU
This 88-nucleotide non-coding RNA is filed under the name Spumella elongata. The record is from RNAcentral. Lineage: Eukaryota; Chrysophyceae; Chromulinales; Chromulinaceae.